RNAcentral lists this ribosomal RNA (535 nucleotides) under uncultured Actinomycetes bacterium. RNAcentral describes it as "bacterial SSU rRNA". It matches the Rfam family "Bacterial small subunit ribosomal RNA", at positions 341 to 890 of the family's 1533-position model. The record is from RNAcentral. Lineage: Bacteria; Bacillati; Actinomycetota; Actinomycetes.
AUUGGGGGAAAAUGCCACCAAGGGCUGACGGAAACCCUGAACCACGAACCCCGCCUGGGGGAUGAAGGCCUUCCGGUUGUAAACUCCUUUCGACAGGGACGAAGCGUAAGUGACGGUACCUGUAUAAGAAGCACCGGCUAACUACGUGCCAGCAGCCCGGUAAUACGUAGGGUGCGAGCGUUGUCCGGAAUUACUGGGCGUAAAGAGCUCGUAGGUGGUUUGUCGCGUCGUCUGUGAAAUUCCGGGGCUUAACUCCGGGCGUGCAGGCGAUACGGGCUGACUUGAGUGCUGUAGGGGAGACUGGAAUUCCUGGUGUAGCGGUGAAAUGCGCAGAUAUCAGGAGGAACACCGAUGGCGAAGGCAGGUCUCUGGGCAGUAACUGACGCUGAGGAGCGAAAGCAUGGGUAGCGAACAGGAUUAGAUACCCUGGUAGUCCAUGCCGUCACGGUGGGCGCUAGGAUGUAGGGGGCUUCCACUGUCUUCUGUGACCGUAGCUAACGCAUUAAGCGCCCCGCAACUGGGGAGUACCGCCGCA